GAGAUAAGCACCAUUGCACUCUAGCCUGUGUGACAGAGUGAGACUCCAUCUCGAAGAAAAAAAAAAGUCUGCCAGAGAAAUACCACAAACACACAGCUGAAGACUCUGUCAAAGAAGUGAGAAGUAAUUAGAGAAUUUACCAUUCUGUAAUUAUUCAGUUAAUACUUGCGUACUUGCGUUAAGUUUUAGGAUUUAGUAAAUGCCCCAUAAGUGUUAGGAUUGACAUCUCAGCUCCACCUGUCACUGGGUGUAUUCUUCUGGGCAAAUCAAUUAACCUGUCUGGACAUCAAUCCCUUCAUUUGCAAAAUGAAGGAGAUAAUCUCUCCUCUUAUAGGUUCCUUGGAAGAGUCAAAAAGUAAAAUGGAGAAACUGAGAAGUGUUAUCUAAAUGUCGACUGUGUUCUUUUAGGAAUGCACCAGCAUUUCUGGAACCACAGGAAGGGACAGAGUUUCCGAUGUUCAUUUAUUUAAUCCCUCUUGGAAAGUGUUAGCAGCUCGUUGCAUCUGUAAAGGAUGGAGGUGCCUUUGAUCACUUCAAUCAACUCACAGCUUCUCCCUUCCCAAAGGCAAGAGGCACCCUUGGCUUCCUCCUGCAAGGGCUCUGGGUACAAGCCUGAGCUUGCUGCCACCGUUAGUCUCCCACUGUGCUGGGGCUGAGGGAGGGGGCUGCCGGGCCCACGGUGGAGUUUGGGGGGAUUUCAGGUUAACCCACAGUAUAUGGGAGGGUGGGUUUCUUUUCCUUUGUGCCGUCAUUUUUCCAAGGCGGCAAUCAAAGGAGAGCAACCUGUGGUAUAAUUCAAGGCUGGCAAAGAGACAGACAAAGAUGAUGGCAGAGGUGCCUCCCCUGCAGCCUGUGGAUCCAUACUGCACUCACGUCCUCACUCUGAAGGUGGCCUCCUAUGAACACCUGCAGCUCAGGCCCGGGAGUUCUUAUCUGUUUGUGACAGGACAUUCCACCCACAUGUAGGACAAGGCAGACAUUGCUGGAGUGUUUGAGCCGCAGGGAGCAGCGCUCAACCAACCAUGGAUGGGACUGGUGGAUAAUCGCCCAGCUCCCUUCCCUUUCCAUGGGACAGCUCUGGGAUGCAUGCUUUGCCCUGGCCCCAGCAGAGCUGAACCUCAGUUGCCACCUGCCCCCCAGCCCCCUCCGUAGGAACAUGCCUGGGGACACACCCUUCCUUGGCUGCCUUCCCGUUCCCAUCCCUGUCUCUCACUGUCCCCUCCCUCCUGGUGUUUCCUGAAUCACUGUGCAAAUAAACUACUCACACCCCA
Homo sapiens (human) is the source of this 1271-nucleotide long non-coding RNA. RefSeq lists it as uncharacterized. The transcript is spliced from 2 exons. The record is from RefSeq and is a predicted model, not a curated record. Lineage: Eukaryota; Metazoa; Chordata; Mammalia; Primates; Hominidae.